UACGGAGGAUGCGAGCGUUAUCCGGAUUCAUUGGGUUUAAAGGGUGCGCAGGCGGGCACUUAAGUCAGGGGUGAAAUACUACGGCUCAACCGUGGAACUGCCUUUGAUACUGAUUGUCUUGAAUUUAGUUGAAGUGGGCGGAAUGUAGCAUGUAGCGGUGAAAUGCAUAGAUAUGCUACAGAACACCGAUAGCGAAGGCAGCUCACUAAGUUAAUAUUGACGCUCAUGCACGAAAGCGUGGGGAU
This 245-nucleotide ribosomal RNA is filed under the name uncultured Bacteroidota bacterium. RNAcentral's name for it is "uncultured Bacteroidetes bacterium partial 16S ribosomal RNA". It matches the Rfam family "Bacterial small subunit ribosomal RNA", at positions 524 to 768 of the family's 1533-position model. Lineage: Bacteria; Pseudomonadati; Bacteroidota. The record is from RNAcentral.